UACGAAGGGGGCUAGCGUUGUUCGGAAUUACUGGGCGUAAGGCGCGUGUAGGCGGGCCGUUAAGUUGGGGGUGAAAGCCCAGAGCUCAACUCUGGAAUUGCCUUCGAUACUGGCGGCCUGGAGCAUGAUAGAGGCGAGUGGAAUUGCGAGUGUAGAGGUGAAAUUCGUAGAGAUUCGCAGGAACACCAGUGGCGAAGGCGACUCGCUGGAUCAUUGCUGACGCUGAGACGCGAAAGAGUGGGGAGCAAACAGG
RNAcentral lists this ribosomal RNA (253 nucleotides) under uncultured bacterium. RNAcentral's name for it is "partial 16S ribosomal RNA". It matches the Rfam family "Bacterial small subunit ribosomal RNA", at positions 524 to 776 of the family's 1533-position model. The record is from RNAcentral.